GACGAACGCUGGCGGCGUGCCUAAUACAUGCAAGUCGAGCGGACGAAUCGAAUGCUUGCUUUUGAUUCGUUAGCGGCGGACGGGUGAGUAACACGUGGGCAACCUGCCCUGUAGACGGGGAUAACACCGAGAAAUCGGUGCUAAUACCGGAUAACACGAAAUGUCGCAUGACGCUUCGUUGAAAGACGGCGCAAGCUGCCGCUACAGGAUUGGCCCGCGGCGCAUUAGCUAGGUGGUGGGGGAACGGCUCACCAAGGCGACGAUACGUAGCCGACCUGAGGGGGUGAUCGGCCACAGGGGGACUGAGACACGGCCCAGACUCCUACGGGAGGCAGCAGUAGGGAAUCUUCCGCAAUGGACGAAAGUCUGACGGAGCAAAGCGGCGUGAGCGAAGAAGGCGUUCGGGUCGUAAAGCUCUGUUGUUAGGGAAGAAGAAGUAACGCAGUAACUGGCGUUACCGUGACGGUACCUAACGAGAAAGCCACGGCUAACUACGUG
This 498-nucleotide ribosomal RNA is filed under the name uncultured bacterium. RNAcentral describes it as "partial 16S ribosomal RNA". It matches the Rfam family "Bacterial small subunit ribosomal RNA", at positions 28 to 507 of the family's 1533-position model. The record is from RNAcentral.